This 1847-nucleotide transfer RNA is filed under the name Lynx pardinus (Iberian lynx). Lineage: Eukaryota; Metazoa; Chordata; Mammalia; Carnivora; Felidae. The record is from RNAcentral.
UGCUGAGAAGGCUUUCAGGUGGCGGUGGGACUCCGGCCUUGCUUGUGUUGUUUUUUUGUGUGUUAGUUUUCUAAAUGGAAACGCAACAGCGCCCGCNNNNNNNNGCCCCCGCCGAGGCCGCCUUGGCUCAAGCCAUCGUUCUUUCUGCGUUUUAAAGGACAAUAGAGGUAUGUGUGGGGGGCGGGGCGGGGGGGGAGUGUGGAGGAGGGGGUCGUAAAAGGAAGUUGUUUCCGCCCGGUUUCGAACCGGGGACCUUUCGCGUGUGAGGCGAACGUGAUAACCACUACACUACGGAAACGAGGCAGGCGGCUGGGUCUCCGGCUCUAACCCUCAAAAGCGGCAUUUCGGCCACACCCGUUGGGCCCGCCGACUUCGCUUGAACUGCCCAAGGCCCUGAAAGCAGCCGCGCCCCUGCGGGCGAGGAGCCCGCGCUCCCGGAGCGGUCCCGGCAAAGGACCCCGCGCCUCCCCUGAGGACGGGACCCUGGCGCCCUCAGCAGCCUGGCCUCGGGAACCGCACCGAACGCAGGGUGUCCGCCUCCAGGACGAGGGACCCCAGGGCAGACGUCGGGUGCACGCUCUUCCUCUGCCAGCCCUUUGGCUCUGCGCCGCUCCGCGGCCCUCCUGGCAGAGGGGUCCUUCCGAUUCCUGCCGCCAUCGCUUAUUCUACUCGGCUCCUUUAGUCCAAUAUUUUAAUCAUGCCUGUGUGUUUUAGUCAGUACCGUAGCAAAGGCCACAUCUUAGGACAUUUGGCUGUUUUAAAAUAUCGAACACGAAUACAGGCCAAUCCACGAUUCCCGGCCUGGAAUGAAUUCGUUCCAAGACCACAUAGAGUAAGUAUAAAUCUAUUCAGGAGCCAGGGACAGUGCACGCAGAUUUCAUGAUUAUUCGAUUUCCUCCUCAUCCCUCUUGAGAUUCGUUUUGAAGAACAGUUUUGUUUUACCUUUCACAAUACCUGACACUUCUUUUAUUUGCCUUUUAUAAUUUUCCCGUUCAACAGGUCAAGGAAUGCGAUUUUUAACCUAGGACAGGUCAAGAGGUAAAGGCGGUUUUCACAGAAAGCAUGUGCCUGGAGGGGUUUUCAAGCUCACCUCACAGCAAAAUGCUAGCCGACCAAUGCUGGGAAAGACUAAUGUUCUUUCUUUCUUUGCUUUUCUUUCUUGUCCCUCUCCCCUUUUCUCUUUUUCCUUUAGAAGUACAGCUUAAGAAGUUUAGCGAAGAAUAUGCCAUUUUCUCCAGCGGUUGAUGUUAGUGCAAUGGUUACCGCGUGGCCUUCUCGCUCAAAGUUCAAGUGCUCCAACCCGAAGGAAGUGCGGGCAGCAUACUCACUGGACACCAGCCCACAGUGCUCUGCUUUGUUCUGCUUUGGCUCAAAAUGCAGUUAGGGAUGCACCAUCGUCACCAGAAACCGGAGGACCUGCUUCCAAAAGAUGUGGCCUUCAAAGUAGCUUUCCAUCAUUGAAUUUCUCUAGGUCACCCUCCCCCCUUUCCUUCCCUCCAAAUUCUAUUUUUCUCCUACCACCCCCAGCCAGGGGAGAGGAUUCACUGUCUUUCUGUCGUGUCCGGACCCUCUGUGGUUGUACGUGGACAGGAGGAAGGAGUAUUUGAACCUUCCCCUCCAGGAGCAAGACGUGCAGUCGGGGCUGGAGAACCACAAACUAAUACACUUGGAUCAGCUGGGUUCUCGCAAACCCAGUCGAGCGGUCCUUGGAGCCUCUCUGUUGGCUGAAACGGAAGGCACGUGGGAUUCCACACCCCGCAAGAGGAGCUACGCUGAGGGGCCCCGGCCCUAACCCCUUGCCCUCGAGGACAGGCCUGGAAGAGGGACAGAGCCGCCCCCUCACUCCC